This 303-nucleotide ribosomal RNA is filed under the name uncultured bacterium. RNAcentral's name for it is "partial 16S ribosomal RNA". It matches the Rfam family "Bacterial small subunit ribosomal RNA", at positions 507 to 809 of the family's 1533-position model. The record is from RNAcentral.
AGCAGUCGCCACGGGAAUACGUAGGUGGCAAGCGUUGUCCGGAAUUAUUGGGCGUAAAGCGCGCGCAGGCGGAUCGGUCAGUCUGUCUUAAAAGUUCGGGGCUUAACCCCGUGAUGGGAUGGAAACUGCCAAUCUAGAGUAUCGGAGAGGAAAGUGGAAUUCCUAGUGUAGCGGUGAAAUGCGUAGAUAUUAGGAAGAACACCAGUGGCGAAGGCGACUUUCUGGACGAAAACUGACGCUGAGGCGCGAAAGCCAGGGGAGCGAACGGGAUUAGAUACCCGCGUAGUCCCUGUCUCUUAUACA